UACGAAGGGGGCUAGCGUUGCUCGGAAUCACUGGGCGUAAAGGGUGCGUAGGCGGGUCUUUAAGUCAGGGGUGAAAUCCUGGAGCUCAACUCCAGAACUGCCUUUGAUACUGAGGAUCUUGAGUUCGGGAGAGGUGAGUGGAACUGCGAGUGUAGAGGUGAAAUUCGUAGAUAUUCGCAAGAACACCAGUGGCGAAGGCGGCUCACUGGCCCGAUACUGACGCUGAGACGCGAAAGCGUGGGGAGCGAACCGG
Molecule: ribosomal RNA, 253 nt
Filed under: uncultured bacterium
Lineage: Bacteria
Description: partial 16S ribosomal RNA
Rfam family: Bacterial small subunit ribosomal RNA
Source: RNAcentral